RNAcentral lists this long non-coding RNA (206 nucleotides) under Lupinus angustifolius (narrow-leaved blue lupine). RNAcentral describes it as "long non-coding RNA (LANG_LNC003445)". The record is from RNAcentral. Lineage: Eukaryota; Viridiplantae; Streptophyta; Magnoliopsida; Fabales; Fabaceae.
CAAAAUGUAAAGAUAAUCUCUCACCUUCUCAAUCACCUUCUCACGCACCUUCAUCACUCUCUCUUCCUUUCACUUCAUCACAAGUGUGGCAAAUUUAUCCAUUCACUUUCUUUGCCAUAAAUAACUUUAUCACUUUCACUUCAUCAUUUUCACCAUAGCAAAAGCUUCUCAUUCUUCAAGAAAUCACUUUCCACAAACACUUCAAC